AUGGACUCUCUGUAUCUGUGAUGCUUUUUUCCCAAGACGUAUCUGAUGCAGAUGUAACUACAAUUUCAGGAGGAAUAGCUAAAAUCAUCUUUAUCUACUCUAAGAUAGAUGGACACAACAUGCUGGAAUAACUCAGGAACUGAUCCUGAAUCUAUUGAACAUUGGAAAAUGAUCACCAAUGCAUCCACUAUUUCUAGAGCCACCUCCCUGAGGACCCUGGGAUGCAGACCAUCAGGCCCAGAGGAUUUAUCAUCCUUCAAUGAGAAAAUGAAAAGGUGAUGGAAUUCUUCUUCAGACUUUAUCUACUCUACAGUUUCUUAAUUUCAUCUUGGAAUAAGAACCCUGUAUUUGCCUGUCCACCAAAAUAACCAAACAACCACAUCCUUGGGAUCAUUCUGGUAAAUCUUUUGCACCUCUCAUAGGCUUUCACAUUAUUUCUAAAGUGCUGCCCCAGUGCAGUUCUAAAGUUCAAGAUAACCCCAGAUUUAACCUCUGCUUGUAUUAUCAAAGCCAAGUUUGUGCACUUUAUUAGCUUUGUUCUCAACCUGUCCUGCUAUUAUAAAUGAUUUACGUGAUCCAGGUCUUACCCUCUUCCUGCCUACCCUUUGGAAGUGUGUCCUGUAUAUUGGCUCAGAACGUCUUCUCACUGACAUGCUGCUGCACAAGCACGACAGCUUUCUCCAAAGAGUUAUCAAGUUUGCCUUGUGUGCAUGAGUGGAUGACGCAGUCAACCUAGGCCUGUACUUCAUCCUCCAGCACCUAGACCACCAGGGGACCUAUGCAAGGAUUUUUCAGCUCUGCAUUCAACACCAUUGUGCCAGAGCUACUACACUCCAAAUUCUCCCAGUUGACUGUGCCUGAACCCCUCUGCCAGUGGAUCAUCAACUUCCUGACAGACAGGAAGCAGCAUGUGAGACUGUGAAAGCACAUCUCGGACCCGCUGACCCUCAGCAUAGGAGCACCGCAAGGCUGCGUACUCUCCCCUCUCCUUUACUCACUCUACACCAACGACUGCACCUCCACAGACUCCUCUGUCAUUCUUCUCAAGUUUGCGGAUGACGCAACCCUAAUUGGACUGAUCCAGGAUGGGGGAUGAAUCUGCCUAAAGACAGGAAGUGACACAGCUGGCGUCCUGGUACCAUCGCAACAACCUGGAGCUCAAUGCUCUUAAGAGCUCCCCCAACUCGCCAUCAACAACACCACAGUCACAUCUAUGGAAUAAUUUAAGUUCCUUGGAACCAUCAUCUCCAGGGACCUUAAAUGGGAGGCUACCAUCGACUCCACUGUCAAAAAGGUCCUAACAGAGGAUGUACUUCCUGCGGCAGCUGAGAAAACACAAUCCGCCACAGGCAAUGAUGGUCCAGUUUUAUACCUCCAUCGUAGAGUCUGUCCUCACCUUCUCCAUCAUGGUCUGGUUUGGCUCAGCCACCAAGCAUGACAUCCGGAGGCUGCAGCGCAUCAUUCGAUCAGCCGAGAAGGUUGUUGGCCUCAACCUUCCCCCCAUCGACGAACUGUACAUUGCAAGGGUCAGGAAUAGAACGGGUAAGAUCAUCUCUGACCCCUCUCAACCUGGCCACAAACUCUUUGAAGCACUUCCCUCUGGAAGGCGACUCUGCUGUCAAAACCGCCAGUCAGACAUAAAAACAGCUUUUUUCCACGAGCAGUAGCGCUGCUCAAUAACCAAAAGUCUGUAGCCUCCUUUUUGCUCUGGUAUUUUAUUUCAUUCUUCACAUGUUUAAAUUGCAAUGUUUUAUUUUUAAUUGUUUACUGUAUAUCAUGUUGUUACUUGCGAGCAAAGCACCAAGGCAAAUUCCUUGUAUGUAUACAUACUUGGCUAAUAACAUUUCUUCAAAAAAUGUAUUCAAUUAUUCAAUUCAAUUCAAUUUGCUGAGAGAAGCCAGUUUUGUUUAUACUCCAAAAAUAGACACAAAGCG
Molecule: long non-coding RNA, 1934 nt
Organism: Leucoraja erinaceus (little skate)
Lineage: Eukaryota; Metazoa; Chordata; Chondrichthyes; Rajiformes; Rajidae
Exons: 3
Source: RefSeq, a predicted model, not a curated record